Molecule: ribosomal RNA, 460 nt
Filed under: uncultured bacterium
Lineage: Bacteria
Description: partial 16S ribosomal RNA
Rfam family: Bacterial small subunit ribosomal RNA
Source: RNAcentral
CCUACGGGUGGCAGCAGUGAGGAAUAUUGGUCAAUGGCCGAGAGGCUGAACCAGCCAAGUCGCGUGAGGGAAGACGGCCCUACGGGUUGUAAACCUCUUUUGUCGGGGAGUAAAGCGAGUCACGUGUGCCUCUUUGAGUGUACCCUAUGAAUAAGCAUCGGCUAACUCCGUGCCAGCAGCCGCGGUAAUACGGAGGAUACGAGCGUUAUCCGGAUUUAUUGGGUUUAAAGGGUGCGGAGGUGGGGGGUGAAGUCAGGUGUCAAAUUUUGUGGCUCAACCCCAAACUUGAGUUUGAUACUGGAAGGAUUGAGUACAGGGGAGGAAGGCGGAAUUCGUGGUGUAGCGGUGAAAUGAGUAGAUAUCACGAAGAAGUACGAUUGCGAAGGCAGCUUACUAAACUGCAACUGACAUUGAUGCUCGAAAGGGUGGGUAGCAAACAGGAUUAGAUACCAAAGUAGUC